This 460-nucleotide ribosomal RNA is filed under the name uncultured Methylophilaceae bacterium. RNAcentral's name for it is "bacterial SSU rRNA". It matches the Rfam family "Bacterial small subunit ribosomal RNA", at positions 30 to 484 of the family's 1533-position model. Lineage: Bacteria; Pseudomonadati; Pseudomonadota; Betaproteobacteria; Nitrosomonadales; Methylophilaceae. The record is from RNAcentral.
AUUGAACGCUGGCGGAAUGCUUUACACAUGCAAGUCGAACGGGACUUAGGGGCUUGCUCCUAAGUUUAGUGGCGGACGGGUGAGUAAUGUAUCGGAACGUAUCCAUUAAUGGGGGAUAACUAACCGAAAGGUUGGCUAAUACCGCAUACGCCCUACGGGGGAAAGCUGGGGAUCUUCGGACCUGGCGUUAAUGGAGCGGCCGAUAUCUGAUUAGCUAGUUGGUGGGGUAAAGGCCUACCAAGGCGACGAUCAGUAGCUGGUCUGAGAGGACGACCAGCCACACUGGGACUGAGACACGGCCCAGACUCCUACGGGAGGCAGCAGUGGGGAAUUUUGGACAAUGGGCGAAAGCCUGAUCCAGCCAUUCCGCGUGAGUGAAGAAGGCCUUCGGGUUGUAAGCUCUUUCGCAAGGGAAGAAACGAUGUGGGUUAAUAGCCUGUGUUAAUGACGGUACCUUGAU